This is a long non-coding RNA of Pseudophryne corroboree (corroboree frog), 861 nucleotides long. RefSeq lists it as uncharacterized. Lineage: Eukaryota; Metazoa; Chordata; Amphibia; Anura; Myobatrachidae. The record is from RefSeq and is a predicted model, not a curated record. The transcript is spliced from 3 exons.
UGUGAUGUUGCUAAAUAGUGUCCUUAUUUGUUUUAUAUCCUAAAAUCCUGAUUAUGUAAACAAACACACAAAAAAAUGAUACUGAAUGUUGCCCACUUUGUGACUGUCCAGCUGAAUGAUCACAAAAACUGUGGACGACAACAACGCCAGAGCUCUCAGCCCCCUUCCCCUUCCCAGUCCCCCUCCCCUUCUCACUCCCCCUCCCCUUCCCAGUCCCCCUCCCCUUCCCAGUCCCCCUCCCCUUCCCAGUCCCCAUCAGCUUCCCAGUCCCCCUCAGCUUCCCAGUCCCCCUCAGCUUCCCAGUCCCCCUCAGCUUCCAACGCCCCCUCAGCUUCCCAGGCCCACUCCACUUUCCACUCCCCUUCUCACACCACCUCUCCAUCUCUUUCUGUGACCCCUUCUCCUCCUUCCCAUACCCCUUCUCCUUCAACUUCAAAAUCCCCUUCUCAGCCCCCCUCACCCUCUAUUGGCUUAACUUUCUCUCCGCCCCCCUCGCCCUCUCAAUCAGACCCACCCUCUGAAAUUUUUUGCCCAAUCCAGCCUCCUUCCCCCAUCCCUCCUCCUUCCCCCAUCCCUCCUCCUUCCCCAAUCCCUCCUCCUUCCCCCAUCCACCCGCCUUCCCCCAUCCAGCCGCCUUCCCCACCCAGUGAGUGGGCACAAGAAGCACCUGAUGAUUUUCCUGCCAACCAUCAUGUUGCAGAGGAAAAUGUUGCCGUUGGAGAUCCCACUUCUUUUGGGGACAUUCUUCAAAACAUGAAGAUACAUUUACAGGCCUUGCUGGGUCUGGUUGACAAAAUGCAAAAGUUGCAUUAGUUUUGUUUACCAAAUGUUAAUAAUUUAAUUUUUUCUAUUAUAAAAAUA